ACAGAGAUAGCUUGCUAUCUGCUGACGAGCGGCGGACGGGUGAGUAAUGCUUGGGAAUAUGCCUUAUGGUGGGGGACAACAGUUGGAAACGACUGCUAAUACCGCAUAACGUCUACGGACCAAAGGGGGGGAUGCUUCGGCACCUCCCGCCAUUUGAUUAGCCCAAGUGAGAUUAGCUAGUAGGUGAGGUAAGAGCUCACCUAGGCGACGAUCUCUAGCUGGUUUGAGAGGAUGAUCAGCCACACUGGGACUGAGACACGGCCCAGACUCCUACGGGAGGCAGCAGUGGGGAAUAUUGCACAAUGGGCGAAAGCCUGAUGCAGCCAUGCCGCGUGUGUGAAGAAGGCCUUCGGGUUGUAAAGCACUUUCAGCGAGGAGGAAAGGUUAGUGGUUAAUAGCCACUAGCUGUGACGUUACUCGCAGAAGAAGCACCGGCUAACUUCGUGCCAGCAGCCGCGGUAAUACGAGGGGUGCAAGCGUUAAUCGGAAUUACUGGGCGUAAAGCGUGCGUAGGUGGUUUGUUAAGCAAGAUGUGAAAGCCCUGGGCUCAACCUGGGAACUGCAUUUUGAACUGGCAAGCUAGAGUUUUGUAGAGGGUAGUGGAAUUUCCAGUGUAGCGGUGAAAUGCGUA
RNAcentral lists this ribosomal RNA (631 nucleotides) under uncultured bacterium. RNAcentral describes it as "bacterial SSU rRNA". It matches the Rfam family "Bacterial small subunit ribosomal RNA", at positions 69 to 692 of the family's 1533-position model. The record is from RNAcentral.